GACGAACGCUGGCGGCGUGCCUAACACAUGCAAGUUGAGCGACUAACCAGGGCUUGCCCUGGGGCAAAGCAGCGAACGGGUGAGAACACGUGGGUAACCUGCCGAGAUGACCGGGACAACCCGAGGAAACUCGGGCUAAUACCGGAUGUGUUUCACACACAUCAGUGUGUGAAGGAAAGAAAGCUUCGGCCUCCGCAUCUCGAGGGGCCCGCGGCCCAUUAGCUUGUUGGUGAGGUAACGGCUCACCAAGGCAACGAUGGGUAGCUGGUCUGAGAGGACGAUCAGCCACACUGGGACUGAGACACGGCCCAGACUCCUACGGGAGGCAGCAGUGGGGAAUCUUGCGCAAUGCGCGAAAGCGUGACGCAGCAACGCCGCGUGAGGGAAGACGGCCUUCGGGUUGUAAACCUCUUUCAGAAGGGACGAAGGGUCGGCGGCGAAUAGCGAGCCGGCUUGACGGUACCUUCAGAAGAAGCCCCGGCUAACUACGUGCCAGCCGCCGCGGUAA
This 508-nucleotide ribosomal RNA is filed under the name uncultured bacterium. Its description in RNAcentral is "partial 16S ribosomal RNA". It matches the Rfam family "Bacterial small subunit ribosomal RNA", at positions 28 to 523 of the family's 1533-position model. The record is from RNAcentral.